GUCGAGAAUCUUUCACAAUGGGGGCAACCCUGAUGGAGCGACGCCGCGUGAGUGAUGAAGGCCUUCGGGUCGUAAAGCUCUGUUGCAGGGGAAUAAAAAAAUGAAGGUACCCUGUGAGGAAGGAUCGGCUAACUUCGUGCCAGCAGCCGCGGUAAGACGAGGGAUCCUAGCGUUGCUCGGAAUCAUUGGGCGUAAAGAGGGCGUAGGUGGCUUGGUAAGUCAGGUGUGAAAGCCCAGGGCUCAACCCUGGAAGUGCAUUUGAUACUGCUGAGCUUGAGUGUCGGAGAGGUUACCGGAAUACCUGGUGUAGUGGUGAAAUACGUAGAUAUCAGGUGGAACACCGGAGGCGAAGGCGGGUAACUGGACGAACACUGACACUGAGGCCCGAAAGCGUGGGGAUCAAACAGGAUUAGAUACCCCAGUAGUCC
This 428-nucleotide ribosomal RNA is filed under the name uncultured bacterium. Its description in RNAcentral is "partial 16S ribosomal RNA". It matches the Rfam family "Bacterial small subunit ribosomal RNA", at positions 354 to 796 of the family's 1533-position model. The record is from RNAcentral.